This 379-nucleotide ribosomal RNA is filed under the name uncultured cyanobacterium. RNAcentral describes it as "bacterial SSU rRNA". It matches the Rfam family "Bacterial small subunit ribosomal RNA", at positions 376 to 770 of the family's 1533-position model. The record is from RNAcentral. Lineage: Bacteria; Bacillati; Cyanobacteriota.
GGCAACCCUGACGGAGCAACGCCGCGUGUGGGAGGACGGCCUUCGGGUUGUAAACCACUUUUCUCAGGGAAGAAGAACUGACGGUACCUGAGGAAUAAGCCUCGGCUAACUCCGUGCCAGCAGCCGCGGUAAUACGGAGGAGGCAAGCGUUAUCCGGAACUAUUGGGCGUAAAGCGUCCGCAGGGGGCUCAUCAAGUCUGCUGUCAAAGCUCGGAGCUCAACUCCGACCCGGCAGUGGAAACUGGGGAGCUAGAGGGCGGCAGGGGCAGAAGGAAUUCCCGGUGUAGCGGUGAAAUGCGUAGAUAUCGGGAAGAACACCAGAGGCGAAAGCGUUCUGCUGGGCCGCGCCUGACCCUGAGGGACGAAAGCCAGGGGAGCG